GCUUACAGGCUCUCCAACUCAAUAUCCACACUUCCAACAAUGAGCGUCCAACAUGUCAUUGACCUUGUGAAAGCCAUCUUUCAUUACAAGGUGAAAUACGGCAAGGCAUGGAAGGCGAAGCAAGCCGCAUUUAAGAUGUUGUAUGGUACAUGGGAGGAAGCAUACAACCGAAUCCCUAGGUUGUUGUUAGCCAUGGCCGCGACAAACCCGGGCAUGGUUCAUGUGGUCGAGCCUCAUGGGCACCAAACAACGGUUCAUGAAGGAAGGAAAGUCAGAGUAUUUGGCCGUGCUUUUUGGGCGUUCGAGCAAUGUGUGAGGGCUUUCGAACAUUGUAGGCCGGUCAUCGCAAUUGAUGGCACGUUCUUGACCGGACAAUACAAGGGCACCUUGUUGGUUGCGAUAGCAAGUGAUGCCAAUAACCGGGUGUUGCCAUUGGCAUUUGCUUUGGUUGAGGUGGAAAACAAUGACAACUGGGAGUGGUUUCUGCAUCUUUUGAGGACACCUUGUUGGUUGCGA
RNAcentral lists this ribosomal RNA (516 nucleotides) under Triticum aestivum (bread wheat). Its description in RNAcentral is "partial small subunit ribosomal RNA". The record is from RNAcentral. Lineage: Eukaryota; Viridiplantae; Streptophyta; Magnoliopsida; Poales; Poaceae.